GAUGAACGCUAGCGGCAGGCCUAAUACAUGCAAGUCGAACGAGAUUAAGAGGCUUGCUUCUUAUGAAAGUGGCGCACGGGUGCGUAACGCGUAUGCAACCUACCUUAAUCAGGGGGAUAGCCCGAAGAAAUUCGGAUUAAGACCGCAUAAAAACACAGGAUAGCAUUAUCCAAUGUUCAAAUAUUUAUAGGAUUAAGAUGGGCAUGCGUGUCAUUAGCUAGUUGGCGGGGUAACGGCCCACCAAGGCGACGAUGACUAGGGGAUCUGAGAGGAUGACCCCCCACACUGGUACUGAGACACGGACCAGACUCCUACGGGAGGCAGCAGUAAGGAAUAUUAGUCAAUGGAGGGAACUCUGAACCAGCCAUGCCGCGUGCAGGAAGACAGCCCUCUGGGUCGUAAACUGCUUUUAUUCGGGAAUAAACCUUUCUACGUGUAGGAAGCUGAAUGUACCGAAGGAAUAAGGAUCGGCUAACUCCGUG
RNAcentral lists this ribosomal RNA (482 nucleotides) under uncultured bacterium. RNAcentral describes it as "partial 16S ribosomal RNA". It matches the Rfam family "Bacterial small subunit ribosomal RNA", at positions 28 to 507 of the family's 1533-position model. The record is from RNAcentral.